This 1305-nucleotide long non-coding RNA is filed under the name Phasianus colchicus (ring-necked pheasant). RNAcentral describes it as "lncRNA (ENSPCLG00000015876.1)". Lineage: Eukaryota; Metazoa; Chordata; Aves; Galliformes; Phasianidae. The record is from RNAcentral.
AACGGGGGUUGGGUGGGGGGUCCAACCCGGUGGGUCUGGGGUCCCACAAAGGCUCCAUCACCUCCUGCUGCCGGCUUCCCUUCCGUCUGUCGCUGUGCAAACCCAAGGCAAACGAAGGCGAGUGCCGAUUUUUGGGGUUUUUUUUGGUCGCUCACUCGACGGUGCCGGUGUCGGGUUUUUUUUGGGUUUUUUUUCCUGAUCCGGUGUCGUUUGCUCGGUGCCGGUGUUGUUUUGCUCGGUGCCAGUGUCGUUUGCUCAGUGCCGGUGUCAUUUGCUUGGUACCGGUGUUGUCGGUACCGGUGUUGUUUGCACGGUGCCGGUGUCAUUUUCUCAGUGCCGGUGUCGUUUUGCUCGUUACCGGUGUUGUUGGUGCUGGUGUCGUUUGAUUGGUGCCGAUGUUGUUUGCUUGGUGCUGGUGUCGUUUGCUCAGUGCCGGUGUCGUUUGCUCGGUACCGGUGUUGUCAGUGCCGGUGUCAUUUGCUCGGUGCCGGUGUCGUUUGCUCGGUACCGGUGUUGUCGGUACCGGUGUCAUUUGCUCGGUGCCGAUGUCGUUUGCUCGGUGCCGGUAUCAUUUACUCGGUGCCGGUGUUGUCGGUACCGGUGUUGUUUGCUCGGUGCCGGUGUUGUUGGUACUGGUGUCGUUUGCUCGAUGCCGGUGCCGUUUGCUCAGUACCGGUGUUGUUUGCACGGUGCCGGUGUUGUUGGUGCCGGUGUCGUUUGCUCAGUACCGGUGUCGUUUGCUCGGUGCCAGUGUUGUUGGUUCCGGUGUCGUUUACUCGGUGCCAGUGUCGUUUGCACAGUGCCGGUGCCGUUUGCUCGGUGCCGGUGUUGUUGGUACCAGUGUCGUUUUGCUUGGUGCCGGUGUUGUCGGUGCCGGUGUUGUUGGUGCCGGUGUCGUUUGCUCGGUGCCGGUGUUGUUGGUGCCGGUGUCGUUGGCUCGGUACCGGUGUCGUUUUGCUCGGUACCGGCAUCACAGACAGACGUUGAUCUGUUUGGCCAACUCCCUCUCGAGGUCGAGGAUGAGAGCAUCGAAGUCUUUGAGGUUAAGCAUCGGAGCGAACGACGAAUCGCUUUCGUCGCCGAGACCAAAAUCGGUCACGAUAAGGGUCCGGCGAUUCGCGACACGACUGUCGCCGCUCGUCACCUCCUCGUAUCUCCCCAGCUCGAUGCUCCAGUCGCCGGCGUAGCGGUUGCUGGGGGGGCUUUCGGGUCCCCGGGGGCGAUGCCGGGCGACCACGGCUGUGUCCACGAGGUCCAGGCGGAGGGGGGGCUGCUGAGGGUGGCUGGGGGGCGACUGGGGGGCCA